This 253-nucleotide ribosomal RNA is filed under the name uncultured bacterium. Its description in RNAcentral is "partial 16S ribosomal RNA". It matches the Rfam family "Bacterial small subunit ribosomal RNA", at positions 524 to 776 of the family's 1533-position model. The record is from RNAcentral.
UACGUAGGGGGCAAGCGUUGUCCGGAAUCAUUGGGCGUAAAGCGCGUGUAGGCGGCUCGAUAAGUCUGCUGUGAAAGUCCAGGGCUCAACCCUGGGAUGCCGGUGGAUACUGUCGAGCUCGAGUCCGGAAGAGGCGAGUGGAAUUCCUGGUGUAGCGGUGAAAUGCGCAGAUAUCAGGAGGAACACCAAUGGCGAAGGCAGCUCGCUGGACCGGUUCUGACGCUGAGGCGCGAAAGCGUGGGGAGCAAACGGG